Molecule: ribosomal RNA, 220 nt
Filed under: uncultured bacterium
Lineage: Bacteria
Description: partial 16S ribosomal RNA
Rfam family: Bacterial small subunit ribosomal RNA
Source: RNAcentral
UGAUGCUUGGGAAUCUAGCUUAUGGAGGGGGAUAACUACGGGAAACUGUAGCUAAUACCGCGUAGAAUCGAGAGAUGAAAGUGUGGGACCUUCGGGCCACAUGCCAUAGGAUGAGCCCAAGUGGGAUUAGGUAGUUGGUGAGGUAAAGGCUCACCAAGCCGACGAUCUCUAGCUGGUCUGAGAGGAUGACCAGCCACACUGGGACUGAGACACGGCCCAG